Molecule: ribosomal RNA, 497 nt
Filed under: uncultured bacterium
Lineage: Bacteria
Description: partial 16S ribosomal RNA
Rfam family: Bacterial small subunit ribosomal RNA
Source: RNAcentral
GAUGAACGCUGGCGGCGUGCCUAAUACAUGCAAGUCGAGCGAACAGACGAGGAGCUUGCUCCUCUGACGUUAGCGGCGGACGGGUGAGUAACACGUGGAUAACCUACCUAUAAGACUGGGAUAACUUCGGGAAACCGGAGCUAAUACCGGAUAAUAUAUUGAACCGCAUGGUUCAAUAGUGAAAGACGGUUUUGCUGUCACUUAUAGAUGGAUCCGCGCUGCAUUAGCUAGUUGGUAAGGUAACGGCUUACCAAGGCAACGAUGCGUAGCCGACCUGAGAGGGUGAUCGGCCACACUGGAACUGAGACACGGUCCAGACUCCUACGGGAGGCAGCAGUAGGGAAUCUUCCGCAAUGGGCGAAAGCUUGACGGAGCAACGUCGCGUGAGUGAUGAAGGUCUUCGGAUCGUAAAACUCUGUUAUUAGGGAAGAACAAAUGUGUAAGUAACUAUGCACGUCUUGACGGUACCUAAUCAGAAAGCCACGGCUAACUACGUG